GUGGGGAAUUUUGGACAAUGGGCGCAAGCCUGAUCCAGCAAUGCCGCGUGCAGGAAGAAGGCCUUCGGGUUGUAAACUGCUUUUGUACGGAACGAAACGGUCCUGGUUAAUAUCCGGGGCUAAUGACGGUACCGUAAGAAUAAGCACCGGCUAACUACGUGCCAGCAGCCGCGGUAAUACGUAGGGUGCAAGCGUUAAUCGGAAUUACUGGGCGUAAAGCGUGCGCAGGCGGUGCUGUAAGACAGGCGUGAAAUCCCCGGGCUCAACCUGGGAAUUGCGCUUGUGACUGCAGUGCUGGAGUGCGGCAGAGGGGGAUGGAAUUCCGCGUGUAGCAGUGAAAUGCGUAGAUAUGCGGAGGAACACCGAUGGCGAAGGCAAUCCCCUGGGCCUGUACUGACGCUCAUGCACGAAAGCGUGGGGAGCAAACAGGAUUAGAUACCCUGGUAGUCC
Molecule: ribosomal RNA, 450 nt
Filed under: uncultured bacterium
Lineage: Bacteria
Description: partial 16S ribosomal RNA
Rfam family: Bacterial small subunit ribosomal RNA
Source: RNAcentral